RNAcentral lists this ribosomal RNA (497 nucleotides) under uncultured bacterium. RNAcentral describes it as "partial 16S ribosomal RNA". It matches the Rfam family "Bacterial small subunit ribosomal RNA", at positions 28 to 507 of the family's 1533-position model. The record is from RNAcentral.
GAUGAACGCUGGCGGCGUGCCUAAUACAUGCAAGUCGAGCGAACAGACGAGGAGCUUGCUCCUCUGACGUUAGCGGCGGACGGGUGAGUAACACGUGGAUAACCUACCUAUAAGACUAGGAUAACUUCGGGAAACCGGAGCUAAUACCGGAUAAUAUAUUGAACCGCAUGGUUCAAUAGUGAAAGACGGUUUUGCUGUCACUUAUAGAUGGAUCCGCGCCGCAUUAGCUAGUUGGUAAGGUAACGGCUUACCAAGGCAACGAUGCGUAGCCGACCUGAGAGGGUGAUCGGCCACACUGGAACGGAGACACGGUCCAGACUCCUACGGGAGGCAGCAGUAGGGAAUCUUCCGCAAUGGGCGAAAGCCUGACGGAGCAACGCCGCGUGAGUGAUGAAGGUCUUCGGAUCGUAAAACUCUGUUAUUAGGGAAGAACAAAUGUGUAAGUAACUAUGCACGUCUUGACGGUACCUAAUCAGAAAGCCACGGCUAACUACGUG